This 497-nucleotide ribosomal RNA is filed under the name uncultured bacterium. RNAcentral's name for it is "partial 16S ribosomal RNA". It matches the Rfam family "Bacterial small subunit ribosomal RNA", at positions 28 to 507 of the family's 1533-position model. The record is from RNAcentral.
GAUGAACGCUGGCGGCGUGCCUAAUACAUGCAAGUCGAGCGAACAGAUGAGGAGCUUGCUCCUCUGACGUUAGCGGCGGACGGGUGAGUAACACGUGGAUAACCUACCUAUAAGACUGGGAUAACUUCGGGAAACCGGAGCUAAUACCGGAUAAUAUAUUGAACCGCAUGGUUCAAUAGUGAAAGACGGUUUUGCUGUGACUUAUAGAUGGAUCCGCGCCGCAUUAGCUAGUUGGUAAGGUAACGGCUUACCAAGGCAACGAUGCGUAGCCGACCUGAGAGGGUGAUCGGCCACACUGGAACUGAGACACGGUCCAGACUCCUACGGGAGGCAGCAGUAGGGAAUCUUCCGCAAUGGGCGAAAGCCUGACGGAGCAACGCCGCGUGAGUGAUGAAGGUCUUCGGAUCGUAAAACUCUGUUAUUAGGGAAGAACAAAUGUGUAAGUAACUAUGCACGUCUUGACGGUACCUAAUCAGAAAGCCACGGCUAACUACGUG